RNAcentral lists this ribosomal RNA (365 nucleotides) under Fastosarion brazieri. RNAcentral describes it as "partial 16S large subunit ribosomal RNA". Lineage: Eukaryota; Metazoa; Mollusca; Gastropoda; Stylommatophora; Helicarionidae. The record is from RNAcentral.
GUGAUAUAAUUUAACGGCCGCAGUACCUUGACUGUGCUAAGGUAGCAAAAUAAAUUGACUUUUAAUUGGGGCCUAGAAUGAAUGGGUAUAUGGAUAAUUUCUGUCUCAAGUAAAUUUAUUUAAAGUUACUUAAAAGGUGAAAAUUCCUUUAUAUAUAAAUAAGACGAGAAGACCCUAGGAGUUUGAAAUUUUGUUGGGGUGACAAUAUAGCAUAUAACCUAUAUAAUAAUAUAAAAUAUAACAAAUAAUAUUAAUAGUAAUUAAACUACCCUAGGGAUAACAGCACAAUUUUAUUUAAGUUUGUGACCUCGAUGUUGGACUAGGAACUUUUAAUAUUAACAGUAUUAAUUGGUAGUUCUGUUCGA